AGAUAUGAAGGCAAUCCAGUUGAGGGAUCUAUUGACCUCAUUGAUUGCUAGAGCUGAUUGGGCUGAUCAGGCUGGGUAGGCAGUGUCCCCUUCCCUCUCACUACUCGAUGUGCAUCCCGCCUAAGGCAGGGCACUACUUGGAAGAGGACAACCUCCCCCAGCCAGAGGAGGACAGGUCUUCCAUCAAGGGUAUGUGAGUAGCUGCACUCCUCUGUCUGAACCUCCAAAUAAGCCCAAAGAAUCAAACUGGGCAAGGACAAAAAUGAGCUUAAUUUAGAAAACUAUUAAAGAUACAUU
This 297-nucleotide small nuclear RNA is filed under the name Microtus ochrogaster (prairie vole). Its description in RNAcentral is "7SK RNA (ENSMOCG00000005790.1)". It matches the Rfam family "7SK RNA". Rfam says of the family: 7SK was discovered as an abundant small nuclear RNA in the mid-70s but a possible function has only recently been suggested. Two independent studies have found that 7SK RNA binds the CDK9/cyclin T complex (known as elongation factor P-TEFb). The record is from Rfam by way of RNAcentral. Lineage: Eukaryota; Metazoa; Chordata; Mammalia; Rodentia; Cricetidae.